GACGAACGCUGGCGGCGUGCUUAACACAUGCAAGUCGAACGGAAAGGCCCUUCGGGGUACUCGAGUGGCGAACGGGUAAGUAACACGUGGGUGAUCUGCCCUGCACUUUGGGAUAAGCCUGGGAAACUGGGUCUAAUACCGAAUAGGACCGCGCGCUUCAUGGUGUGUGGUGGAAAGCUUUUGCGGUGUGGGAUGGGCCCGCGGCCUAUCAGCUUGUUGGUGGGGUAAUGGCCUACCAAGGCCACGACGGGUAGCCGGCCUGAGAGGGUGACCGGCCACACUGGGACUGAGAUACGGCCCAGACUCCUACGGGAGGCAGCAGUGGGGAAUAUUGCACAAUGGGCGCAAGCCUGAUGCAGCGACGCCGCGUGAGGGAUGACGGCCUUCGGGUUGUAAACCUCUUUCACCAGGGACGAAGCGCAAGUGACGGUACCUGGAGAAGAAGCACCGGCCAACUACGUG
RNAcentral lists this ribosomal RNA (462 nucleotides) under uncultured bacterium. Its description in RNAcentral is "partial 16S ribosomal RNA". It matches the Rfam family "Bacterial small subunit ribosomal RNA", at positions 28 to 507 of the family's 1533-position model. The record is from RNAcentral.